Molecule: long non-coding RNA, 1500 nt
Organism: Harpia harpyja (harpy eagle)
Lineage: Eukaryota; Metazoa; Chordata; Aves; Accipitriformes; Accipitridae
Exons: 4
Source: RefSeq, a predicted model, not a curated record
ACUGUAAAGAGAACCUGGAUAGCAAGAUGUGGUUAGGCACCUCGUUUUUAGGUUGUUAAAAUUAGCUGGAAUGAAAUUCACCCUUAAUGGUUAAAGAUAUGUCAACAGGCUCAAAAGUCAGCUACUCUGAUAGUGUAUAUGGCAUCUUAUCCGACCUCCUCAUAUGAGGUGAUUAAUGAGCUGAAGAAAGACGUUGUCAUCAGGCAAACCUUCAAGAUAGAAAAGCGCAACUGAAUUUGGGAAGAUACAAUGCGUUUAUUGCCAUGACAAGGUGUUAUAUUAGUGGGAAAAGAUCUAUAAGGCAGCAGCUGAGCCCACAGCCUCUGUGCAAGGAGUUUUUCACUGAAGAAAUCCCCUCUGCACAUGCCCAGCAGCCCAGAUCAGCCCUUUCUGGUGGAUGGUGAAACACUGGAAGACCUUUGAAAGAAAUUGUUACCAUAGGGUAAGUGAGGUUUUUGCAGGUGUGCUGCCAUGAGGACAAAAAGCAGAAGGCUUGUUCCCAGGAGCUACACUUCUGCCCCACCACACCUGGACAUGUUCCUGCACCCUCAGCAUCUCCCCUGCUGCAUGGGAGCAGUCCACCUUGCCUGCACCUGCACCUUCAGGACUGUGGUCUUUCUGUAGCAGAAACCUGCUGAGGUGUGCAGAGGCAGUGUUACCCCACCACCUCCCUUGACAAAGCAGGGCUGUGCAGUGAGGGGAGGACACACAAAACCCUUCCAGCCUUGAAAAACAUCAGUGGGGCUGCAGGCAGGCUCCUGUUGCAUAGCAGCCAGACUGGCUGGCACCCCAACAGGGCACUUCAUCCCCAGGCAGCUGCAGCCAGGUCUGACAACACCCAUGCUGAGCAGGCUUGAGGGCAGCUGUGAGGGGGAAGCCUCAGUGGCACUUAGGGGCACAUCUUCAUGCACCACACAAACCACUCACACUGCAGAUAGGAGACACCAACCACUCAUGCACACCACACUUGACACAAAACAAACACACACACCACUCCCCCCCACCCAGAGACAAAACACUAGUGCAUUGCACAUGUGAAAAACAGAAUAGCUGUAUGCUGCACAAUCCUGGGAUACAAACCACACCAGUGACACAGUGGAGACAGGACCUGUGUGCUAGUUGUGCAAUACACAGGUGAGUACAAAACAGUGGGGUAGCACAAGUGUGUGCCACACACCACCUCUACACACGACAUGUGCCAUACGUGACAAAACACUUGCACCACAAGACACUCAAGCAUUGCACACUUAUGCUCCACAUUUGCUGUACACAUGAAACAGCACAUGCUACACAACACCCACGAUGCUGCACGUGUGAUGUACAACAUGAGCUGCACAUCAGGACACACUGCACAUGUAACACCACACAUUUGCCACACACAUAGUGCUCUGACAUACCAUACAUAUUAUACCCCACAUGUAUGAUGCUGCACACAGACCCCACAUGCAUGACACCAUGUGUGCCCACACCCAUGAAACACCCCAUCUGUUAUGCCACACA